RNAcentral lists this ribosomal RNA (1697 nucleotides) under Shigella sonnei. RNAcentral's name for it is "partial 23S ribosomal RNA". It matches the Rfam family "Bacterial large subunit ribosomal RNA", at positions 1233 to 2909 of the family's 2925-position model. The record is from RNAcentral. Lineage: Bacteria; Pseudomonadati; Pseudomonadota; Gammaproteobacteria; Enterobacterales; Enterobacteriaceae.
GGAGCGUUCUGUAAGCCUGCGAAGGUGUGCUGUGAGGCAUGCUGGAGGUAUCAGAAGUGCGAAUGCUGACAUAAGUAACGAUAAAGCGGGUGAAAAGCCCGCUCGCCGGAAGACCAAGGGUUCCUGUCCAACGUUAAUCGGGGCAGGGUGAGUCGACCCCUAAGGCGAGGCCGAAAGGCGUAGUCGAUGGGAAACAGGUUAAUAUUCCUGUACUUGGUGUUACUGCGAAGGGGGGACGGAGAAGGCUAUGUUGGCCGGGCGACGGUUGUCCCGGUUUAAGCGUGUAGGCUGGUUUUCCAGGCAAAUCCGGAAAAUCAAGGCUGAGGCGUGAUGACGAGGCACUACGGUGCUGAAGCAACAAAUGCCCUGCUUCCAGGAAAAGCCUCUAAGCAUCAGGUAACAUCAAAUCGUACCCCAAACCGACACAGGUGGUCAGGUAGAGAAUACCAAGGCGCUUGAGAGAACUCGGGUGAAGGAACUAGGCAAAAUGGUGCCGUAACUUCGGGAGAAGGCACGCUGAUAUGUAGGUGAAGUCCCUUGCGGAUGGAGCUGAAAUCAGUCGAAGAUACCAGCUGGCUGCAACUGUUUAUUAAAAACACAGCACUGUGCAAACACGAAAGUGGACGUAUACGGUGUGACGCCUGCCCGGUGCCGGAAGGUUAAUUGAUGGGGUCAGCGCAAGCGAAGCUCUUGAUCGAAGCCCCGGUAAACGGCGGCCGUAACUAUAACGGUCCUAAGGUAGCGAAAUUCCUUGUCGGGUAAGUUCCGACCUGCACGAAUGGCGUAAUGAUGGCCAGGCUGUCUCCACCCGAGACUCAGUGAAAUUGAACUCGCUGUGAAGAUGCAGUGUACCCGCGGCAAGACGGAAAGACCCCGUGAACCUUUACUAUAGCUUGACACUGAACAUUGAGCCUUGAUGUGUAGGAUAGGUGGGAGGCUUUGAAGUGUGGACGCCAGUCUGCAUGGAGCCGGCCUUGAAAUACCACCCUUUAAUGUUUGAUGUUCUAACGUGGACCCGUGAUCCGGGUUGCGGACAGUGUCUGGUGGGUAGUUUGACUGGGGCGGUCUCCUCCUAAAGAGUAACGGAGGAGCACGAAGGUUGGCUAAUCCUGGUCGGACAUCAGGAGGUUAGUGCAAUGGCAUAAGCCAGCUUGACUGCGAGCGUGACGGCGCGAGCAGGUGCGAAAGCAGGUCAUAGUGAUCCGGUGGUUCUGAAUGGAAGGGCCAUCGCUCAACGGAUAAAAGGUACUCCGGGGAUAACAGGCUGAUACCGCCCAAGAGUUCAUAUCGACGGCGGUGUUUGGCACCUCGAUGUCGGCUCAUCACAUCCUGGGGCUGAAGUAGGUCCCAAGGGUAUGGCUGUUCGCCAUUUAAAGUGGUACGCGAGCUGGGUUUAGAACGUCGUGAGACAGUUCGGUCCCUAUCUGCCGUGGGCGCUGGAGAACUGAGGGGGGCUGCUCCUAGUACGAGAGGACCGGAGUGGACGCAUCACUGGUGUUCGGGUUGUCAUGCCAAUGGCACUGCCCGGUAGCUAAAUGCGGAAGAGAUAAGUGCUGAAAGCAUCUAAGCACGAAACUUGCCCCGAGAUGAGUUCUCCCUGACCCUUUAAGGGUCCUGAAGGAACGUUGAAGACGACGACGUUGAUAGGCCGGGUGUGUAAGCGCAGCGAUGCGUUGAGCUAACCGGUACUAAUGAAC